AGAGUUUGAUCCCGGCUCAGAAUCAACGCUGGCGGCGCGCUUAACACAUGCAAGUUGAAUGAGAAAGCGGGAGUAAUCUCGCAAGUACAGUGGCGUAUGGGUGAGUAAUACGUGGGUAAUCUACCCUUUAGUGGGGAAUAACGCUGGGAAACCGGCGCUAAUACCGCAUAAUCCCGAGAGGGGAAAGUUGUAAGACGCUGAAGGAGGAGCCCGCGGCCGAUUAGUUAGUUGGGAGGGUAAAAGCCUACCAAGGUAAAGAUCGGUAGCCGGCCUGAGAGGGCACACGGCCACACUGGCACUGAAACACGGGCCAGACUCCUAUGGGAGGCAGCAGUGGGGAAUCUUGCACAAUGGGGGUAACCCUGAUGCAGCGACGCCGCGUGAGCGAUGAAGCCCUUCGGGGUGUAAAGCUCUUUCGGCAGGGACGAUAAUGAUGGUACCUGCAGAAGCAGCUGCGGCUAACUACGUGCCAGUAGUUGUGGUAAUACGUAGGCAGCGAGCGUUGUUCGGAGUUACUGGGCGUAAAGGGUGUGUAGGCGGUUUUCUAAGUUUGGUGUGAAAUCUCCCGGUUUAACCGGGAGGGUGCGCCGAAAACUGGAAGGCUAGAGUGCGGGAUGGGAGAGUAGAAUUCCUGGUGUAGUGGUGAAAUGUGUAGAUAUCAGGAGGAAUAUUGGUGGUGUAGAUGGCUCUCUGGACCGCAACUGACGCUGAGACACGAAAGUGUGGGUAGCAAAUAGGAUUAGAUACCCUGGUAGUCCACGCCCUAAACGAUGCAUAUUUGGUGUAGGUCAUUUAGUUGAUCUGUGCCGGAGUUAAUGUGUUAAAUAUGCCGCCUGGGGAGUACAGUCGUAAGGCUGAAACUCAAAGGAAUUGACGGGGGCCCGCACAGGCGGUGGAGCAUGUGGUUCAAUUUGAUGCAAUGCGAAGAACCUUACCUGGGCUCGAACGGCUGGUUAAUGGCAUUGGAAACAGUGCUACUCCGUAAGGAGGUCCAGUCGAGGUGCUGCAUGGCUGUCGUCAGUUCGUGUCGUGAGAUGUUGGGUUAAGUCCCGCAACGAGCGUAACCCUUGUCCUGUGUUGCCAUCCCGUAAGGGGGGACUCGCAGGAGACCGCCAGCGAUAAGCUGGAGGAAGGUGGGGAUGACGUCAAGUCCUCAUGGCCUUUAUGUCCAGGGCUACACACGUGCUACAAUGGCCGGUACAAAGCGCUGCUAAGUCGUGAGACGGAGCUAAUCGCAGAAAACCGGUCUCAGUUCGGAUUGCAGGCUGUAAUUUGCCUGCAUGAAGCUGGAAUCGCUAGUAAUGGCGUAUCAGAAUGAUGUUGUGAAUACGUUCCCGGGCCUUGUAUAUACCGCCCGUCACAUUACGAAAGUGGGUUGUACUAGAAGUCUGCAGGCUAACCCGUAAGGGAGGCAGCGGCCCAAGGUAUGACUCAUGAUUGGGGUGAAGUUGGAAUAAGGUA
RNAcentral lists this ribosomal RNA (1461 nucleotides) under metagenome. Its description in RNAcentral is "bacterial SSU rRNA". It matches the Rfam family "Bacterial small subunit ribosomal RNA". The record is from RNAcentral.